AAACCCGCUGUUCGGUCUGGUCUUUGGUCGCGCUUUCAGUUAGUCAAACGAAAUUUUCGCCUAAACUUUUGAAUACAAUUAUUUUUACGUUACCAAGGCAUUUUGUAGUUCACAAGAUAUAAAUCAACAUUUUAACUAUUCACGCUGUCAAGCUUUUUUUUGCAAAACUUAACAAACUCAAUUUUGUCAAACGCGGGUUUUUAUUAUCCGUCUUAGCUUAGUUUAAAAUCAAACCGGUAAACUAAUUGCUUUGAAAUAGUAAAAAAUAAUAAAUAACAUGUUUGUUGAUGCAGUAUACUUUGUCACUCCAAUUUGAUUAAUUAUCAAAAAAUGCAGUAAUUACGCAAAUAUUUCAGUGAAAUUUGGCAGUUUUUCAACAUCUAUAAUUACACAAUGGAAGAUCGAGUAAACGAAAACUUGCUGAGGAAUUGCACAAUGAUGGUACUCUCAAUAGAAUUUGGUCAGUCGACUUCAGAACUCGAGUCGUCAAAUUCUUCCACACUUUUGGGUAUCUUAGGAACCACAUUAAACACUGCUGAAUUGACUAUGCCUAAACGAACAAUGGCUAAGGAUCGACUACAUGAUUGUAUAUAUCCUAUUUCAGAACCAUCACAUAGUUUUAGCUGGUGGCAUAAGCUUACAUGGAUAACGCUUUUUAUAGCUAUGUUAACCGUAGCUAUUUUAGGAAACUUGAUAGUCAUAUGGAUCGUUGCAGCUCAUCGACGAAUGCGAACUGUUACCAACUGUUACAUGGUCAGCUUGAGUGUUUCAGAUUUAUUCAUGGCAUCACUAAACUGUCUACCAAAUUUCAUUUAUAUGCUCAACUCCGACUGGCCGUUUGGACUGGAACUUUGUAUAGCGUCAAAUUUUAUAGCCUACUGGACUGUCGCAUCUUCGGUGUUUACACUCGUAUCUAUCACACUUAAUAGAUAUAUGGCUAUUGUUCAUCCAUUAAGACAUAGGAGAUCUCGUACGAGAACCCAAACAGUUCUCAUUCUUAUCUGGGCUAUCAGCAUAUUUUUGGCGAUUCCAUGUUUCCUGUAUUCAAAUAUAAAAACAAAAAGAUAUACAAAUGGAGAACUUAGAAGAGCUUGUUAUAUGCUCUGGCCAGAUGGCAGAUAUCCACAUUCAAAAACUGAAUACAUAUACAACAUUUUGUUCUUAUUUGUUACUUACAUUAUACCACUCGUAGUGAUGUUUGUGUGCUACACGAUAAUGGGCAAAGAACUUUGGGGUAGCAAAAGUAUAGGACAAAUGACUGAAAGACAUGAAGAAUCUAUAAAAUCAAAAAGAAAAGUAGUUAGAAUGUUUGCUGUUGUCGUCGCUAUAUUUAUAAUCUGUUGGUUGCCUUAUCACUUUUAUUUUGUAUACGCUUACCACAACAAAGAUAUCGUUAGUAAAGCCUAUGUACAAGAUUUGUUUUUGGCAUUUUACUGGCUUGCAAUGUCUAACUCCAUGGUGAACCCAAUAAUUUACUAUUGGAUGAAUCCCCGGUUCAGGACUUACUUUAAAGCUGUUUUAUGUUUUUGUACCUGUCUCAGAAAAUCUGAAAGAAAUUCUAAUGACUUGAAUGUUAUUAGAGUGAAUGGUGAUUCAUCCCAUUACUUUUUGACUAGAUCUAAAUCAGUAGAACGAUUCACCAGGUCCAGCAUCAUUGGGAGUCCAACGCUUACGACAACCACAAGAAGUUCAAGUAUUAUGUCUUGUCGGAGAAUUCAACGAAGUAGCACAUCAACCGAAGAUGCUAAAUCUUCAAUGUAAAAAUCACACAGAAAUAGGAGUACUUGAAUCAGAUAAUGUUAAUUAUAAAAGCUGUAAUUACAAUCAAUUGCAAAAUACCAAAAGUCAUUCGACGACAAUGCUUAUAUUAUCUUCGACUGUAUUAUGAAUGCGGCUUAAUAAGAAAAUUAAUGAUAAUAAGGCAUUGA
This is an RNA transcript of Daktulosphaira vitifoliae (grape phylloxera), 1928 nucleotides long. It is a transcript of the gene named tachykinin-like peptides receptor 86C, with no coding region annotated. The transcript has 10 exons. The record is from RefSeq and is a predicted model, not a curated record. NCBI's taxonomy places the organism in Eukaryota, Metazoa, Arthropoda, Insecta, Hemiptera, Phylloxeridae.